UUCGAGCGUCAUUACAACCCUCAAGCCUGGCUUGGUAUUGGGCCCCGCCGUUCACGCGGCGGGCCUUAAAAUCAGUGGCGGUGCGUCGUGGCCCUGAGCGUAGUAAAUACCCUCGCUAUAGGACCCGGUGGUUACUUGCCAGCAACCCCCAACUUUCUAAGUUUGACCUCGGAUCAGGUAGGGAUACCCGCUGAACUUAA
Molecule: unclassified non-coding RNA, 200 nt
Filed under: soil metagenome
Description: partial contains internal transcribed spacer 2 and large subunit ribosomal RNA
Source: RNAcentral